AGGACGAACGCUGGCGGCGUGCUUAACACAUGCAAGUCGAGCGGAAAGGCCCUUCGGGGUACUCGAGCGGCGAACGGGUGAGUAACACGUGAGCAAUCUGCCCUUAGCUUCGGGAUAGCCCCCGGGAAACCGGGAUUAAUACCGAAUAUGACCUCGGCCGACAUCGGCUUUGGUGGAAAGUUUUUCGGCUAGGGAUGAACUCGCGGCCUAUCAGCUUGUUGGUGGGGUAAUGGCCUACCAAGGCGACGACGGGUAGCCGGCCUGAGAGGGCGACCGGCCACACUGGGACUGAGACACGGCCCAGACUCCUACGGGAGGCAGCAGUGGGGAAUAUUGCGCAAUGGGCGAAAGCCUGACGCAGCGACGCCGCGUGGGGGAUGAAGGCCUUCGGGUUGUAACCCCUUUCAGCAGGGACGAAGCGAGAGUGACGGUACCUGCAGAAGAAGCGCCGGCUAACUACGCGCCAGCAGCCGC
This 474-nucleotide ribosomal RNA is filed under the name uncultured bacterium. RNAcentral's name for it is "SSU rRNA". It matches the Rfam family "Bacterial small subunit ribosomal RNA", at positions 26 to 518 of the family's 1533-position model. The record is from RNAcentral.